AAUAAAAAAGAAAAAGAAAUUGCUGGCACAAGAUUUGAACUCCGAAGAAACUAAACGUAAAUCUAACAGGAGGUGCUACUGCUUCACCAGCCAAUGCGCUUUUACAGAGUUGGCAAUUAAAUUGUUUACGAAUAUAAUAUUUAGAUAAGCUUGAUCGACUCACCUCUGAUGUAGCACGUAGACGUUUGUUUUCUUGUCUCCAUGACAACGCUGUAAAGCUCUCAAAGAAAUUACCAUCGGAUUCCUGUACUCUGUAAGGGUUAAACAUGUUUGCCAUAAGAUGUCACGAAGGCAUUUGCCAUGUCUUGGGAACAACAACAAUAAUAAUAAUGAUAGUAAUAAUAGUAAUAAUAAUGAUAAUAAUAAUACAAACAACAACAAUAACAAUGUUAGUAAUACUAAUUCUGCUACUACGACUAACGACGAAGACAAUAACAGUAGCAGGUAGUAAUGAAACACAACAGUAGCAAAAGGAAGGCAGAAAAAUAAAUAUGGAUCUCUUUGAUGUUUAUCCGACCAAUUCGUUUAAAAUGAGCUUAA
Long non-coding RNA from Octopus sinensis (East Asian common octopus), 540 nucleotides. RefSeq lists it as uncharacterized. Lineage: Eukaryota; Metazoa; Mollusca; Cephalopoda; Octopoda; Octopodidae. The record is from RefSeq and is a predicted model, not a curated record. The transcript has 2 exons.